This 551-nucleotide ribosomal RNA is filed under the name Klebsiella michiganensis. Its description in RNAcentral is "partial 23S ribosomal RNA". It matches the Rfam family "Bacterial large subunit ribosomal RNA", at positions 1 to 582 of the family's 2925-position model. The record is from RNAcentral. Lineage: Bacteria; Pseudomonadati; Pseudomonadota; Gammaproteobacteria; Enterobacterales; Enterobacteriaceae.
GGGUUGUGAGGUUAAGCGACUAAGCGUACACGGUGGAUGCCCUGGCAGUCAGAGGCGAUGAAGGACGUGCUAAUCUGCGAAAAGCGUCGGUAAGGUGAUAUGAACCGUUAUAGCCGGCGAUGUCCGAAUGGGGAAACCCAGUGCAAUUCGUUGCACUAUCGUUUGAUGAAUACAUAGUCAAACGAGGCGAACCGGGGGAACUGAAACAUCUAAGUACCCCGAGGAAAAGAAAUCAACCGAGAUUCCCCCAGUAGCGGCGAGCGAACGGGGAGCAGCCCGGAGUCUGAAUCAGCUUGUGUGUUAGUGGAAGCGUCUGGAAAGUCGCAGGGUACAGGGUGAUACUCCCGUACACUAAAACACACAGGUUGUGAACUCGAAGAGUAGGGCGGGACACGUGGUAUCCUGUCUGAAUAUGGGGGGACCAUCCUCCAAGGCUAAAUACUCCUGACUGACCGAUAGUGAACCAGUACCGUGAGGGAAAGGCGAAAAGAACCCCGGCGAGGGGAGUGAAAAAGAACCUGAAACCGUGUACGUACAAGCAGUAGGAGCCC